CGCCUCCUGUAAGGCAAAAAUAGGAGGUCACGCCUGCCCACUGACUAUAAGUUCAACGGCCGCGGUAUUUUGACCGUGCAAAGGUAGCGUAAUCACUUGUCUCUUAAAUAGGGACUGGUAUGAACGGCAUCACGAGGGCUUGACUGUCUCCUCUCUCUAAGUCAGUGAAAUUGAUCUCCCCGUGCAGAAGCGGGGAUGAAAACAUAAGACGAGAAGACCCUAUGGAGCUUUAGGCCAAGGGGCAGACCAAGUUCAUACACCUAUAAUAAUAGACCGAACUUAUUGUGUGCUGUCCCAGUGCCUUAGGUUGGGGCGACCAUGGAGUAUAGGAUAACCUCCACGUGGAAUGGGAGUAGCUUCUGCCUCGAAAUACACACCGCUCCUAAAGUUGAGGGCCGCGGCCCUAAACAGCAAAACUUUUGACCCAAUUUGAUCCGGCAACGCCGAUUAACGAACCAAGUUACCCUAGGGAUAACAGCGCAAUCCCCUUCUAGAGCCCAUAUCGACAAGGGGGUUUACGACCUCGAUGUUGGAUCAGGACAUCCUAAUGGUGCAGCCGCUAUUAAGGGU
This 570-nucleotide ribosomal RNA is filed under the name Sphyraena flavicauda (yellowtail barracuda). RNAcentral's name for it is "partial 16S ribosomal RNA". It matches the Rfam family "Bacterial large subunit ribosomal RNA", at positions 1817 to 2572 of the family's 2925-position model. The record is from RNAcentral. Lineage: Eukaryota; Metazoa; Chordata; Actinopteri; Sphyraenidae.